This 899-nucleotide long non-coding RNA is filed under the name Bos indicus x Bos taurus (hybrid cattle). RNAcentral describes it as "lncRNA (ENSBIXG00000004013.1)". The record is from RNAcentral. Lineage: Eukaryota; Metazoa; Chordata; Mammalia; Artiodactyla; Bovidae.
CACCUUAACUCCUGUCCCCCUUCAAUCUAUUCUCCAUACUACAGUUGAAGGGAUCAUUUUAAAACUUAAAUAACAUCAAUCUCCUGCUUAAAUUCUUCAGUGGCUUCCCUUUUCAUUAAGAAAAAAACCCAGACUCUUUACUCUGAGCCACCAGGCUCGGCCUGAUCUGAUCCAGGCUGUGUUUCCAGCCUCAGCUUGGGCACUCACCUCUUCGCCCUCUCUGCUCUAGCCACGUUAAUCUUUGUUGUUGUUGUUCAGUCGCUCGGUUGUGUUGACUCUUUACGACCCCGUGAACUGCAUCACGUCAGGCUUCCCUGUUCUCCACUGUCUUCCAGAGUUUACUCAAGUUCAGGUCCAUUGAGUCAUGAUGCUACCUUAUUUCACUAGUUUUAUUUCAGUUUAACUAAUCUGUAAAGAUCUUUCUUGCCUCAAGUUUUUGCAUAUGCCAGCCCUUCUUUUUUGGGACAGUAGAAAUAACUGGCAUUUGUUUUGCACUCGCUACAUACUAGAGACUGUUCUAGGCACCUUCUAUAUGCAUGCAUUUAAUCCUCACAACAGCAGUAUGGAAUAGGUACUAUCGUGUUCCAUAUUUUACAGAUGAGGAAACAAAGAUACAGAGAGGUUAAAUAAAUUGCCCAAAUCCCCACAGUUUGUAAUUAAUGACACCAGGAUGAGCUUUUCCACUGUGUGUAAUGGCAGCCCCUUCUCAUCCUCUAGGUCUUGGCACAUCGACCCUAUCCUUGGGGCAGCUGUCUCUGGCUACCGUAUGUAAGAGACCAAACAAACAAACAAAAAAGAGGUUCAAUAGCAGCAGAGGAGAGGAGGUCUGCAAUCUUAAACUUGGUAAGCAGUACCUGACUAAACCCUGAAAUAAUAAAUAUUUCAUGCAAUGCUUUCCA